GGUGGUACAACUCAGUGGUAGAGCGCAUGCUUGGGUGGACAAGGUCCUGGGUUCAAUCCCCAGUACUUCCA
RNAcentral lists this transfer RNA (71 nucleotides) under Camelus bactrianus (Bactrian camel). It matches the Rfam family "tRNA". Rfam says of the family: Transfer RNA (tRNA) molecules are approximately 80 nucleotides in length. Their secondary structure includes four short double-helical elements and three loops (D, anti-codon, and T loops). The record is from Rfam by way of RNAcentral. RNAcentral also lists the same sequence under 1 other name. Lineage: Eukaryota; Metazoa; Chordata; Mammalia; Artiodactyla; Camelidae.